RNAcentral lists this ribosomal RNA (443 nucleotides) under uncultured bacterium. Its description in RNAcentral is "partial 16S ribosomal RNA". It matches the Rfam family "Bacterial small subunit ribosomal RNA", at positions 338 to 795 of the family's 1533-position model. The record is from RNAcentral.
CCUACGGGAGGCAGCAGUGGGGAAUAUUGGACAAUGGGGGGAACCCUGAUCCAGCGACGCCGCGUGAGUGAAGAAGUAUUUCGGUAUGUAAAGCUCUAUCAGCAGGGAAGAAAGAAAUGACGGUACCUGACUAAGAAGCCCCGGCUAACUACGUGCCAGCAGCCGCGGUAAUACGUAGGGGGCAAGCGUUAUCCGGAUUUACUGGGUGUAAAGGGAGCGUAGACGGCGAUGCAAGUCUGAAGUGAAAGGGGGGGGCCCAACCCCUGGACUGCUUUGGAAACUGUAUGGCUGGAGUGCAGGGGAGGUAAGUGGAAUUCCUAGGGUAGCGGUGAAAUGCGUAGAUAUUAGGAGGAACACCAGUGGCGAAGGCGGCUUACUGGACUGUAACUGACGUUGAGGCUCGAAAGCGUGGGGAGCAAACAGGAUUAGAUACCCGAGUAGUC